CCUACGGGUGGCAGCAGUGAGGAAUAUUGGUCAAUGGGCGGAAGCCUGAACCAGCCAAGUAGCGUGAAGGCUGACGGCCCUACGGGUUGUAAACUGCUUUUAUACGGGAAUAACGCGCCUUACGUGUAGGGCUUUGCAUGUACCUUAUGAAUAAGGACCGGCUAAUUCCGUGCCAGCAGCCGCGGUAAUACGGAAGGUCCGGGCGUUAUCCGGAUUUAUUGGGUUUAAAGGGAGCGUAGGCCGCAUGUCAAGCGUGUUGUGAAAUGUCCGGGCUCAACCCUGGCCUUGCAGCUCGAACUGGCGGGCUUGAGUCCGCGGAAAGCAGGCGGAAUGCGUGGUGUAGCGGUGACAUGCUUAGAUAUGACGAAGAACCCCGAUUGCGAAGGCAGCUUGCUGCAGCGGAACUGACGCUGAUGCUCGAAAGUGUGGGUAUCGAACAGGAUUAGAUACCCGUGUAGUC
RNAcentral lists this ribosomal RNA (460 nucleotides) under uncultured bacterium. RNAcentral's name for it is "partial 16S ribosomal RNA". It matches the Rfam family "Bacterial small subunit ribosomal RNA", at positions 338 to 795 of the family's 1533-position model. The record is from RNAcentral.